Molecule: ribosomal RNA, 1115 nt
Filed under: Vibrio parahaemolyticus
Lineage: Bacteria; Pseudomonadati; Pseudomonadota; Gammaproteobacteria; Vibrionales; Vibrionaceae
Description: partial 23S ribosomal RNA
Rfam family: Bacterial large subunit ribosomal RNA
Source: RNAcentral
GUAGUUGACGACGUGUGUUCAGUGAAAUCGAGUAGGGCGGGACACGUGAUAUCCUGUCUGAAUAUGGGGGGACCAUCCUCCAAGGCUAAAUACUACUGACUGACCGAUAGUGAACCAGUACCGUGAGGGAAAGGCGAAAAGAACCCCUGUGAGGGGAGUGAAAUAGAACCUGAAACCGUGUACGUACAAGCAGUAGGAGCAGGCUUGUCCUGUGACUGCGUACCUUUUGUAUAAUGGGUCAGCGACUUAUAUUCAGUGGCAAGGUUAACCAUCUAGGGGAGCCGUAGGGAAACCGAGUCUUAACUGGGCGUUCAGUCUCUGGAUAUAGACCCGAAACCAGGUGAUCUAGCCAUGGGCAGGUUGAAGGUUGAGUAACAUCAACUGGAGGACCGAACCGACUAAUGUUGAAAAAUUAGCGGAUGACUUGUGGCUAGGGGUGAAAGGCCAAUCAAACCUGGAGAUAGCUGGUUCUCCCCGAAAGCUAUUUAGGUAGCGCCUCGGACGAAUACUACUGGGGGUAGAGCACUGUUAAGGCUAGGGGGUCAUCCCGACUUACCAACCCUUUGCAAACUCCGAAUACCAGUAAGUACUAUCCGGGAGACACACGGCGGGUGCUAACGUCCGUCGUGGAGAGGGAAACAACCCAGACCGCCAGCUAAGGUCCCAAAUUACUACUAAGUGGGAAACGAUGUGGGAAGGCUCAGACAGCCAGGAUGUUGGCUUAGAAGCAGCCAUCAUUUAAAGAAAGCGUAAUAGCUCACUGGUCGAGUCGGCCUGCGCGGAAGAUGUAACGGGGCUAAGUAGUAAACCGAAGCUGCGGCAAUAUACUUUUGUAUAUUGGGUAGGGGAGCGUUCUGUAAGCGGUUGAAGGUGUGUGGUAACGCAUGCUGGACGUAUCAGAAGUGCGAAUGCUGACAUGAGUAACGAUAAAGGGGGUGAAAAACCUCCUCGCCGGAAGACCAAGGGUUCCUGUCCAACGUUAAUCGGGGCAGGGUAAGUCGACCCCUAAGGCGAGGCCGAAAGGCGUAGUCGAUGGGAAACGGGUUAAUAUUCCCGUACUUCUUACAAUUGCGAUGGGGGGACGGAGAAGGCUAGGUGGGCCUGGCGACGGUUGU